GAUGAACGCUAGCGGGAGGCCUAACACAUGCAAGCCGAGCGGUAUUUAUUCUUCGGAAUAGAGAGAGCGGCGUACGGGUGCGGAACACGUGUGCAACCUGCCUUUAUCAGGGGGAUAGCCUUUCGAAAGGAAGAUUAAUACCCCAUAAUAUAUUGAUUGGCAUCAAUUGAUAUUGAAAACUCCGGUGGAUAAAGAUGGGCACGCGCAAGAUUAGAUAGUUGGUGAGGUAACGGCUCACCAAGUCGAUGAUCUUUAGGGGGCCUGAGGGGGGGAUCCCCCACACUGGUACUGAGACACGGACCAGACUCCUACGGGAGGCAGCAGUGAGGAAUAUUGGACAAUGGGUGAGAGCCUGAUCCAGCCAUCCCGCGUGAAGGACGACGGUUCUAUGGAUUGUAAACUUCUUUUAUAUAGGGAUAAACCUACUUACGUGUAAGUAGCUGAAGGUACUAUAUGAAUAAGCACCGGCUAACUCCGUGCCAGCCGCCGCCGUAA
This 495-nucleotide ribosomal RNA is filed under the name uncultured bacterium. RNAcentral's name for it is "partial 16S ribosomal RNA". It matches the Rfam family "Bacterial small subunit ribosomal RNA", at positions 28 to 523 of the family's 1533-position model. The record is from RNAcentral.